UACGUAGGGUGCAAGCGUUGUCCGGAAUUAUUGGGCGUAAAGAGCUCGUAGGCGGUCUGUUGCGUCGGCUGUGAAAACCCGAGGCUCAACCUCGGGCCUGCAGCCGAUACGGGCAGACUAGAGUUCGGCAGGAGAGACUGGAAUUCCUGGUGUAGCGGUGAAAUGCGCAGAUAUCAGGAGGAACACCGGUGGCGAAGGCGGGUCUCUGGGCCGAUACUGACGCUGAGGAGCGAAAGCGUGGGGAGCGAACAGG
RNAcentral lists this ribosomal RNA (253 nucleotides) under uncultured bacterium. RNAcentral's name for it is "partial 16S ribosomal RNA". It matches the Rfam family "Bacterial small subunit ribosomal RNA", at positions 524 to 776 of the family's 1533-position model. The record is from RNAcentral.